AUAGGCUUGCAAAUAGACUUCACCGUUCCACCGGCCUUACGGGCUGCUCAGACGUGAGAACGGCGAAAGCCUACAGUCUCCUUCCCCACAGCGUGAAAUCAGUCACAUUCCAGGGAUACCUGCAAACAUCACAUCACUGGCAAUUCGGGUUUCAUCAGCGAUUCCGCCAAGUGCCCGGCUACAUAUUAACCAAAACCUCCACCCAGGCAGCACACACCGCCUUACUAACCUGUGUGAUGGAAUGGAUGCCACCUGUCUGACAGCCAGGGUGCGGGCAGUGCCUCGUCUCGUGGACAAAUGGGUAAAACCGCUGAGAAUCGCUCCAAGCAACAUCUGGGCUUCUGGGAUGGAAAGAAAACUUGACCUUUGUUACUGUGCGACGUAAUAUCAGACAUCUAGGCGUGAAAGAACGUGGGAGACGCUAGGUGCCUCGGGGUAACCCACAGUGCCGAAGGCUGGCACCAUGGGGUAUUGUGACCCUCCAUGACGAAGUCGCCCAUUGUCGCCCCACCUUGAGGCUGCCAGUGUGUCACAUGACCUGCGACAAUGGAGACC
This is a long non-coding RNA of Pseudophryne corroboree (corroboree frog), 555 nucleotides long. RefSeq lists it as uncharacterized. NCBI's taxonomy places the organism in Eukaryota, Metazoa, Chordata, Amphibia, Anura, Myobatrachidae. The transcript has 3 exons. The record is from RefSeq and is a predicted model, not a curated record.